Notolabrus celidotus (New Zealand spotty) is the source of this 786-nucleotide long non-coding RNA. RefSeq lists it as uncharacterized. The record is from RefSeq and is a predicted model, not a curated record. The transcript has 3 exons. NCBI's taxonomy places the organism in Eukaryota, Metazoa, Chordata, Actinopteri, Labriformes, Labridae.
AUGGUCUGCUCCAGCAAGAUGGCUUCAGCUUAAGGGCCUUGUCUGCCCUAGGCCACGCCUUUUGCCCAAACCAGGAAGUGCCACCCUUCACAACCAGUGGUGCUUCUGCUGCCUGUUCUGAGUUUGUUUGGCCUCGCUCUCCCUCCCAGAGGACAGUGGAGGUAUUCUGGUUGGAGCGCAGUCGUGUGCGAGGAGGUGUUUUGUGGUCACCUGGGCUAAAGGAUUGGGAAACUCCAGAGCCUCCUCUGGUCAACCCGAGCCCCCAUCCGUGACGAGAUCCCAGUUUACGACGAGCUCCAGAACCAGAGCGUGGGGGUGGAGUCCUGGGACCUGAGAUGUCAGGAUCUGCCUGAGAUUGGGCUCUUCUCAUAGGAGAGGGAGAGACGGGAGCACUGCGGGGAUCUGAAAAACAGAGGAGAAGCAGAGUAGAAGAGUACAAGGAGAACUAGCCUCUGACGAUCCUCAUCUGUGACAUGUAUGAAGAAAACCUGCAUCAAAACAGUGACACUUUUUGCUCUUUAACCUCAAAUCUUGCUCUAAAACCUCUACAUUUCAAUUAAUAUAUUCUAUACACAAAGUGCAACUAUGGGCAUGCCACAUUGUUUCAGGCUCUACUUAACAACCAACAGCUUGUGAAGCAAAACAUAUUCAGACUGCAAGGUAAGCUUGAGGGAGCCCGUCACUGAACAAAACCAAAACAGGGAGAAAAAAAAAUCCUGUACUUUGUGUCCUUGAUUCUGUCUGGAAGAAAAGCUUUCAUAACAAUAAAGACGCUUGAAAAAGUCA